This 480-nucleotide ribosomal RNA is filed under the name uncultured bacterium. RNAcentral describes it as "bacterial SSU rRNA". It matches the Rfam family "Bacterial small subunit ribosomal RNA", at positions 28 to 501 of the family's 1533-position model. The record is from RNAcentral.
GAUGAACGCUAGCGGCAGGCCUAAUACAUGCAAGACGAACGGUAAGCUUUGUAGCAAUACGAAGCCUAGAGUGUCGCAAGGGUGCGUAACACGUAUGCAAUCUACCCUGUACAGGAGUAUAGCUCCCCCGAAAGGGGAAUUAACCCUCCAUAACAUAGCGAGUCGGCAUCGACUUGCUAUUAAAACUGAGGUGGUACAGGAUGAGCAUGCGUCUGAUUAGCUAGUUGGUAGUGUAAUGGACUACCAAGGCGAUGAUCAGUAGGGGAACUGAGAGGUUGAUCCCCCACACUGGCACUGAGAUACGGGCCAGACUCCUACGGGAGGCAGCAGUAGGGAAUAUUGGACAAUGGGUGAGAGCCUGAUCCAGCCAUGCCGCGUGCAGGAAGAAGGGCCUUCGUGGGUUGUAAACUGCUUUUAUCUGGGGAUAAAAAGGCCUUGCGAGGCAAACUGAAGGUACCAGAUGAAUAAGCCACGGCUAAC